CAUAAUGUAGACCUUCCAGGUCGUUUAGCCUUAUCUCAAACAUUUGGCCCUAAUGCUGCUGUUCUCAUUCCUGUUUAGUGGGGGAAACAGCAUGAAACCAUCCAGAGGAAGAGCAGCUCCUCAGAGAAGAAGAUCAGGUCAGCUGACUGCAGGUGGAGGAGAGGCUUCAUUUACUCCUCUGAGUGAAGAGCAAUCUAAAGAGGCAAUUUCUAUCAUGAAAUACUCUUUUGAUGAGGCUGCUAUCAAGAAUAAGAUGAAGUUUAAUUAGAUGGUCCUUGAUGAAAAGAAAUAACCCUUGAAAAGUGCAGCUGAGUUAAUAAAGGCCACAUUAACAUGUUGGUAUGAAACUUCUAUGCUUUAGUCUUUUUUACGUUUGGUGUUUAUAUCAAAUGUCUGGUCACAGUUCCAAUCAUACGUUUAAAAACCUAAAUGAGGGAUUGCUGUUUAAUGUUCUGCUAAUUUAAUGAUAUUAUUCUUUUCUAACAGUCUCAAUCUACUUUGAUUGAUCAAGACUUUAUCCUGGAAUUUGGAGAAGAUAUAUCCUCAGUGUUUAUGAGCGGUAAGUGUCAGCCUAUCUCCUCUCUUUAGUAUGAAUGCAUGUUUUUCUCCAGGAAACAGGAAGUAAUCCUGCAGAGCCAGACUCUUCCUGCCUCCAGUGAAGAACUGAUCUACUGUGGAGCGUCGGAUGAGAAGGAAUUGGAAAGCAUUGCAUCUGGCUGGGAUAGCGAUCCUGCUUCCAUCAUUCUGCUGCUCCACCUGAGGCCGUAAAACACCUGGAAGCUUCCUGCAUCCCAAGCUGCUUCCUGCUCUUCCACAAGAGUGGAACAAGUUUUCAGCAGCAUGUUGAUGACAUCACUUCUUCAACGCAUCCAUCUUCAUUCAAACAAGCAUCUAGAAGCUACGCUGGCAAAGUUCAGCAGACUCCACGUCUCAAAGCUGAACUAGAAGCAGUGAAUGAAUCAGGAAACAAGUCUGCCUGUAAAUGUAAUUAGUUUCUUAUGAAUCUAAUUUACUAUCUUUAUUUUUUGAUCUUCUUCACUCAAUACGUUUAAACAACAUGGUGAAGCUUUGUUGUGUUUAUCAGAACCAACAUCCUUGUUAUGCAUAUUAGAUUAAGUCCUGGUUUAUGUCCUGUUAAGGCGCUCCACCUGAAAUGUGCUCAGAGAGGAUGUAGCCGGAUUUUUCAGGAAACAUUUAAACACAAACAUGAUGAGCAGACUGAACAUGAACCUGAAACUGGACCAAACCAGUUUUACUGCAGAUUAAAUGCUACUUGAAGAUUCUGUGGAUAAUUCAGUGGGUCUAGAUGUACAGUAAGUCCUGCUAGAGCUGCAGCUUCAACAUGUUGGUCCUCUGAGAACUUUUCUGCUGAAAUUGAACAGAAAUCCUUUACUUCAUUAAAUGCUGAGUCCAAACAAAAUGCUUCUUUUAAAGAGAAGUGGAAGAUUUUUGAACCUGUUGAAAAUAGAAGUAGAUGUAGUGGAACUUAUGAUCAAGUGGUUUUUACAGACAGAUUAGCAAAUAUUCCAGUUCUAGAUACUCUGCGAUCUAUUCUCACAAAUCUACAAGUAUGUGGAAUGUUUUCAUCCGACCAUAUUUCAAAGGUUGCUUUGUAUUUCCAUUUAAAAGAUGGUCUAGAUACGAAUAAUCCUCUUUUUUCCAAGGAGAAAAUGUAAAUGUUUAGUUUUAUUUUUAUUCUAAGUUU
This is a long non-coding RNA of Cyprinodon tularosa, 1705 nucleotides long. RefSeq lists it as uncharacterized. The record is from RefSeq and is a predicted model, not a curated record. Lineage: Eukaryota; Metazoa; Chordata; Actinopteri; Cyprinodontiformes; Cyprinodontidae. The transcript has 3 exons.